Molecule: ribosomal RNA, 469 nt
Filed under: Hypseleotris compressa
Lineage: Eukaryota; Metazoa; Chordata; Actinopteri; Gobiiformes; Eleotridae
Description: partial 12S ribosomal RNA
Rfam family: Bacterial small subunit ribosomal RNA
Source: RNAcentral
CUCGCCCGGGGACUACGAGCAUAAGCUUAAAACCCAAAGGACUUGGCGGUGCUUUAGAUCCACCUAGAGGAGCCUGUUCUAGAACCGAUAACCCCCGUUCAACCUCACCUUUUCUUGUUUACCCCGCCUAUAUACCGCCGUCGUCAGCCUACCCUGUGAAGAACACAUAGUAAGCAAAAUUGGCAGAGCCCAAAACGUCAGGUCGAGGUGUAGCGUAUGAGAAGGGAAGAAAUGGGCUACAUUCACUGAACCAGUACACACGGACGAUGCUUUGAAACCAAACAUCUGAAGGAGGAUUUAGCAGUAAGGAGGAAAAUAGAGCGUUCCCCUGAAACCGGCCCUGAAGCGCGCACACACCGCCCGUCACUCUCCCCGAGCUUAACACUACCUAUUAAAUAAGACAUAAUAACUGCAAAGGGGAGGCAAGUCGUAACAUGGUAAGUGUACCGGAAGGUGCACUUGGAAAAAU